AUGAGCAAAUCCAAAUUUAUUUUAACGCCAUGUCAUUUUCAACAUGUUUAAAAACCUCAUAAGUUAGUGGGAGCCCUAGUUCCCUGGGACAGCAUGCCAGAGGUACUGAAUUUCAUCACCUUCCUCUCCAAACCCCUAGCAAUUCAUCCAAUCCAAGUCCACAGCUUCAGAAAGCCAGGAGUUGUCUCUUCAGUCAGUCUGCUCCUCUGGUUCCUGGUCUUUCUUUCAGGGAGGGAAGUCAAAAUAUUUCAAACAGGGAACAAAACCACAGUUGAGCUUCCAGCUCAGGUGUCUAAGAUGAAACAGGGGAAUGCCCCCCCAUCGACUCCAAAGAAAUGGACAAGGUGGAGAUGGAUUACUUCUUUACAGCUUUGUGAAGACAAAAAAAGUCCUGCAGAACAAAAACGACUAAAGAGAUUUACAAAUGAGGAUCCAUUUGACAGAUGAGAAUCUCUUGGUAAAUGCAGGCUCCAGCUCCUAAAAAUGAGAGGGGCCUGACCAGUCUGGAUCAGAAAGGAAUCUGCCACACGUGAAUAAAAACAAUCUGAAUAUAGCUCCUCUUUAUUUUGAGGCCUGAUAAAAUACCUGGGGAGAAUGGGAAAAGAGAGGAACAAGCCCCAACAGAUGGGAAAAUGCUGACACCAGAGUGGUAUAAAAAAAUUUCAGCUGAGUUUUUAGUGGUGGCGGCUACUUUAGCCUUCUCCCUGUUCUGUUGUAGGGUCAUAAACCUUGACCAAAGCAGAGAGUAGUAGAAAAAGGCUAGAAAGAGGGGCUUGAAGACGAUGAAUUUUGACUCCUGAUUUUAUUAUUCAAUUUCUCUUUUCUAUUUAAAGUAGUCUUCGGUGGCUGGGAAGCCUGGCCUCCCAAGACCAGAGUCAGUUGGAGCUGGUUGUUGUUGGACAGGGAGUGGGGUAGGGACAGGGAUGGGGGCAGGGAGAUCCUGCUCUGCUGGCGGUCCUGGGUGGAGAAGACGAACUGCGCUUCACAGAGCCUGGGGUGUGGUGGGAAAGGGAUGAGGCAGGAGCGGCAAGCUGGGGAGAUGGGACCCACCUCAGUCCCCAGCUUCAUUCUCUUCUAAUGUUUCCCCACUGGUGGCAUUUUCUGCAGUCUUGGAGGCCUAUAUUCGUGGAAAAGAGAGGAAGACUUAUCAGUUUCCAACUACCUGGGGUAGUAUCCAGGGUACCAAGGACAAAAAUAUCCUAAUGCUCUAGGUCAAGGCUGAGGAAGGGAAAGUAAGGAUAUACAGAUACAUAUAUGCCCACCACAACACCCAGGAAGGUGGACUCAAGAGGGAUCAAGUUCACCCUGCCAGAGACGGAUAAUCAUACCUUCUUUUUUUUCUUUUUCUGGGUUUUCCGACUUGCAGAACUCUGGAGGAGGGCCUGGAAAAUAGGAGGAGGAAGGAAAACAAAUUUUGAGGAAUGCUGAGGAAACACAAAAUGUCUCUCUCAGUACCCCGGCCCUUUGCAGGACUUUGCUGACACCUCCUCCUCACUCCCAGGACACGUGCAAUGUGUUCACCCCUUUCCGUCACACACUGACCUUUAGCUCUGCAUCCUGGACCUCCAUCUCAGACUUGUAAAGGUCAGGCUCAAAGGGACCACUAGUUAUCCGCAUGGGGCCAUUGGGCAUGAGCAGGACUGUAAAUUUAAACUGGGCAACAAAUUCACCUAUGGAAGAAAGGAAGUGUUUUGAUAAAAUGUCCCCUUGUCAUACUCCUUUUCUGUAAGCUAGAGCGGGGGACUGUAAUCAGGGGCUCCAAAGUGAAACUCUCUUCUUAGGACUCACCCUCCUUCUCAUAGAGAACAUUAAAUGGCUGCAGCAGUUCGUGUUUGGCACAUUCCACCACACCCAUGCGGGCCUUCUUCUCAUCUUCAAAUGCUCUGGGUGGUGGAAGACAAAUUCAGGCAUCCUUAACUCCCUAUCAAGUAACAUUUUCCUCAAGUUUUUAAAUGUGUGUGGUCUAGGGAGUCAGACUGGUUCCAAGUACUGUUCUUGCUAAGUGCAGUAGUAGUACCUUAAAGUAAAUGGCAUGGCAUCAAAACGCCUUUCGACCUCACUGAAGAAGGCACGUGAAGUUUUCAUUUUCAGCCCAUACUGUUUAGAAGGGUCUCGUUUGUAAAUGGUGGUUCUCUGUCCUGCAUCCUUGGCCUAAAAGAGUAAAAAGUUAGGUCACAUUUGGGCUGGUGCUCUUAGAACACACCCUCGGUCACUCUUCUGUGCUAGCUCUGGUAAACUCUCCUCACCUUGCCCUCUCCUGAGCUGACAAGAACAUCCACAGCAUAUACUUCGUGUACCUCAAAUUCAGCCUUUUCAUGGUCCUUCCUAAAAGGAAUAGAAAGGGAACCAUAAAAACAAUAAGUAGUUCCUGGAGUCUGAAGUAAAAGAAGACAGACAAGAAUAAGCUGGGAGCAUGAAGAAAAUGUUCGUGACUAGACUCAGAGGGUGGAAAGCGAAGGGUGGAACUGGCACCUACUUCUGCUGGUCUGUGGGAUUCUGGAUAAUGGUUUUCUCUCCAUCGAUGACAUGCUGCUUCAACUGAUGUGACAGCAUACCUGAGGACAGGACAAAGCCAUCUAGAACCCAAAAGGUUCCCAAAUCCACCCACCUAUGUAGGUUGAUGAGGCAGGCAGUGAGGGAAAAGUGCCUAUGAAAACUCAGGGGAGAAAAGGUUUUGGCUUACACUGUGCUAGAGUCAGAAUGGAUCUUCAAAGGAGCAAAAUCCUUAAUUCUACUAAACCACUCAGACCCUCAACCCUGUUAUCUGAGGUCUCACCUUCUAUUGGUGUGCAAUUAAAUGAGUGGGCAACUUUGUUCCAGGCUUCUGUCACUUGUGUGUUCUAGAAGUACAAGAUCAAAUAACAGGUGAGAUAUAUAAAGGGGCCAAUAAGCUCUCCACCAUGAGAAUGAAAAAUAUAAAAAACUGAUAGUCCCAAUACCCUCCAUCAAGAGCAACGACUCUCAUUGGUUUUUCAUUUCAAGUUAUUAUCCCUACAGCUUAAAAACACCUUAUGUUUGCAUAUCAUUUUACAAAGUGCUUUCACAAAGAUGGUCUAAUUAGACAAUUCUGAAAGGUGAAUACAGCAGAUCUAUACCCCAUAUCCCGAUUUAAAACAUGAAGAAACUGAGGCACAGAAAGGUUAAGAUUUUCCCAGGCUUAAGCCAGUUAACUUGAAGAAACUGAGAUAAACCCAGGUUUUCUAGUGAUGAAUCCAGUGUUUAUUCCACAAUAUUUGUUGAGAGGGAACAGCAAACUCUGAUUUUCCCCUUCUUACCUUUCAAACAUGAUCUCACCCCCACCUAAGCUACAGUUCUUUUUUUCUUUUAAUUUUUUUUUUUUUAAUCUUUAUUUUUGAGAGAGAGACAGAGUGUGAGCAGGGGAGGAGCAGAGACAGAGAGAGACGCAGAAUCCGAAACAGGCUCCAGGCCCCAAGCUGCCAGCACAGAGCCCAACGCGGGGCUCGAACCCACGAACCAUGAGAUCAUGACCUGAGCCAAAGUCAGACCCUCAACCGACUGAGCCACCCAGGUGCCCCUAAGCUACAGUUCUUAAACAAAAUGAAAAAUAAGUAAUCAUAACUAAUAUUAUUAAGCCAUAUGCUAGGUACUGUACAUGGAUCAUUUCAAUUGUUACAACAACCCUAUGAUAAUAACUGACAAUUUCAUUUUUCCUAUUUUGCGGAUUAGGAAAUUUGAACUCAAAAAGUUAUUUUUAAACAGUAAGCAUUGGCGAUAGGGCAAGAAUCCAGAAAUUCCUGAUGUAUGCCAUAACUAUAUAAUAGCCAGUAUACACCACCACCUUCCAGUGAAGAUAACACAAUUCUAAGUAUAUAAAUAAUCAACACGCAAAGUAAUAAGAGCCAACACAAGUGCUUACUAUGUGCCAGGUACUGUUCAAAAUGCUUCAUAACAACUGUAUGAAGUAGGUAUCGUUAUAAGCAAACCAAGACAGAGGUUUAAGUAAAAAUGACGCAAAAGAGUAACAAUGGUGAAGUACAAACUAAUUAAAAGAAGAAUAAGAGAGAACAGAAAUGAAAAAAAGCAAAAGCAAAAGCAAAAAAAAAAAAAGAGGGCAAGCUUUAAGUAUUGAACAGGGUCCUGGAGACUGAAGUGUGAGAAAAAAUGUCUCCAUGCAUAGCCUAAGAUGUUAAAUUAUAGUAAUUCACGAUAGUUUAUGAUCCCUGGGCUUUCUAAUAUUGUCUUGCAAAAGCACAAAACUAACUUUUGGCCUCUCUCUGCCACCAGUUUACUGGUACUACUGUGAUUUCUGUUAUAAGCUUUUAAAAUUGGGUUUUUGGGGGCACUUGCCUGGCUCAAUUGGAAGGGCAAGUGACUUUUGGUCUUGGGGUUGUGAGUUUGAGCCCUACGUUUGGUGUAGGAAUUAAUUACACAAAGAAUUAAAAAAAAAACCAGUUCUUAAAAAAAGUUGGUUUUUUUUACAUUUGUGUUUUACUCUAAGUGAUAUCCCUCAAAUUAUUUUAGGAAAAGAUGUACAUCCAAAACACGAAUAAGAGAGGACCUCUAUAGGCUCCAUGAGGAAAGGACCAUAUAUCCCCAAACACCUGCAUGUGAACUUAUCUAUGAUAGUCUCUCAGAGUUAGUUGUAAUCUCAUAGCUUAUGAGUUCAAGCCCCACAGGGGGCUCACUGCUGUCUGUGCAGAGUCUGCUUUGGCGCUUGUGCAGAUCCUUUGUCCCCCUCUUUGUCUCCCCCUCCUCCAUCCGAACAUGCACUCUCUCACUAAAUAAAUAAACAUUUAUAUAAACAAGUUUAUUUAUUUCUGAGGGCGGGGGAGGGGAGAGAGAGACAGAGGAUCUGAAGCAGGUCCUGCACUGUCAGCAUAGAGCCCAAAGCAGGGCUUGAACUGAUGAACUGUGAAAAUCUGACUGAGCUAAAGUCAGACACUUAACGAACUGAGCCACCCAGGUGCCCCAAUACAACGAAUUUUAAAGAGCUGUAUGUUUUAGGGGCACCUGGCUGCCUCACUUAGUAGAGCAUGCAACUCUUGACCUCACGGGCUUUUUUUUGAGCCCACUUUGGGGCUUUAAAAAGAAAGGGAUGGGGGUGCCCGGGGUGGCUCAGUGACAUCUCACUCUUUGUUUCAGCUCAGGUCAUGAUCUCAUGGUUCAUGAGUUUGAGCCCCAUGGUGGCCUCCUUGCUCACAGUGCAGAGUUUGCUUGGAGUUCUCUCUCCCUCUUUCUCUGCCCCUACGAGACUGGUGCUCACUCUCUCUCAAAAUAAAUAAACUUAAAAGAAAAAAAGCUAUUUUAUAAGGGGGCUGUAGGAGAAGGGGACAGUUCAAUACAGAAUAGCUAUAAAUGGCUAAUGCUUCUUACAUUCUAUCAGGGUUUAGAACUGGACUAAACAGCUUACCUGGUUUCCAGGUUUGACCAGGCGCAGGGCAGCUUCAGCACAAAGGUGAGCUGCCUUAAUGACAUCUGCUUUCCGCCCUGUUACUUGGGUCCCCUGUAGAUAAGGAAAUGUAAUCAGUACUCCCUGGAAAAUCAUUCUAACUGAGCUGGUCACUAUGUAAGGCCAGUCAACACUUUCCUCUUUUUAUUUCUCUAGGGACUCUCUCAAACUGUAUAUGGUGGUUAGGGGUGGGAAUAAGCAGCAGCAUACCCUCCCCACAAGUGGAACAAAAUUCAAAGCAGACCACCUACCUGAGCUACAUCAACCACAAAAGUGUGAGCCACAUUAGCGAUGAAGCCAUCCACAUGGACCCCAAGGUCACUGAAAGACAAGAGGAGAGCACAGCAUUAGCAACUAGCACUAUGCAAAUGCUUAGGAAAAAGACAAGUGCUCUAAAAUGGCUUAAGCUUACAUUUUUACCAAGUCACCUUCCUUGAGAAUAUAGUCCUGGUCGCUCUUCAAAGGGGAGAAGUGACAUACACAGUUAUUUACUGAAAUGCUGGUGGGAAAGGCAAUACCUGUAAAGAGACAAUCAUCAGCCUUACUACCCUGCUGUCUCUCUCUCUCAAUGUCUCUUUCGGAGCCCUGCUGCCCCUCGGAAAAAUGGAAGGAUUUUCUUCAGGGUCUUGCCUGUUUAAUCAGUUUGGAUUGGGUAGGAAACUGCUUGUAUCCCACCUGCCAUUUCAAAUUUCCAAAUAUCUCAACCAGAGCUUGGGUGGGGGUUACAUCAUUACAAUAAAACAAACAGGACUGAGUAAGGGUCAAACUUGGGAAAUUAGUGGGGGGAUUGAUUUUUUACCUUUCUUCAUUUCUUUUUCUUUCUUGAAAAUUUUCCCUGUCUCUUCCAUAAUCAUGGCAUCACCUUUCUCACACAGGCUCAGUACGGACACACCUGAGCAGGAUGCUUCCACCAAAGACCGAAGUACCCCUGGGGACAGAAUCCCACCAUGUCAGCCCUGUAUGUGUUGUCUAAGUCACCAUCCAAACAAUACCUAGAAGUUAGCGUUUGUAAUAUUCCUUAGUGCCAUUGCCCAAGGCUGAAAGAGGGAACAAGUUUGUCUCUUGGAAUAUACCUACUUAUAAUCACUAAAUUUCUACCUUCCUUUUCCUAAAAUAAAAAAGCCACACACCCUUCUCUCCCUAUAGAAUGUGACAACUGGGUAAACACCAUCUGUCUCCCUAGUGAAGGGAGACUUUCCAAAGAUACCAGUGGCGUGGUAGGACAGUUACGAACUUCAAGGGGGUUCUCACCUCAGCAAGGUGACCAACAUACAUGCAAAGCAGACUGGAAGAAAUUUAUAGGCGUCAGGAACAACAGGAAGAUAGACACAGAAUUGCUGACUCGAAGCUGAUGCAUUGUUAAAUGCAACCUUCUUCCCUUCUCAGACACCCCAAUUAGAUGUUAGUAAUCUCAAUCUGUGUAAAAGUAUUUCCUCAUCAACCGGUGUAUAAACCAAAGGCACUUAAUCUAAAGUUCCUGAGCUUCAAAGGCUCAUGUCUUACAGCUUGUAGCACAUCUCAAAGAGGUGUAAGACCUGAGUUUCAAACUAGUAUCUGGGAUCACAAGUGCCUCAGAAGUUAUAAGUUGCAAGGGAAAAAAUUUUUUUGAUUCAAACCACUAAUACUAAAAAGCACUCCAAAUAAGGCACUAUAUUAAAUGUUCAUUAUGUUAUAAAGCAUUGUUCUGUUCACUGGAUGCCCUCACCAUGGCCUAUCCUCAACUUCAGAUUUGAUUUUUGUGAUCCAAGUCUUUGGAAGCAUGAAAAACUCAGGUUUUCAGCCAUAGGACCAAAGGGAUCCUAAAUACCUAUCUUUACUGUCAAAACCAUUUAAAAGCCCAAACACAAGCAUUUUCUGUUCCCCUAAUUGGGUUUUAAAGUGAAAAGGUAAAUUGCAAAGAGAGAAAAAGGAAAGUGUGACAUCUGCCAAGCUUGGCAGGCAGCUGCUGAGAAAGUCCCAGCACAGUGGUAAUAAGGAUGACUUCUGAGAUCCUAAAAUCAGCCCCCCACCCUCUUUUCAGUACCAUUCACAAGACUGCCUAGUUGGGGUGAGAACCUCAAAAACACUCCUAGCGUUAUCAAGUCCCUGAGAUCAAAUCUGACGGCUAAGGCUAUCUGCACAGAUUGUUGGUAGCAAUAACUUCAAGAAAAGCCAGAUAUUAUCUCCAAGAGUUGUGUUAGGAGCUCCAACGAUCCCUGAGCUGGCCCAAGAGGAGAAGGGGGCCCCACCAGCGAAGGAGUUGAAGUAAAAAACGAAAGACUCCAGCAAAGCACGUGGUAGGGAAGCUGGUGUCAGGGACUGUAGCAGAGGAAGGGAGCCGGCGAUCCGCAUGGGAACCCGGCAACACGUGCCGGCUGGGCUCUUGAUGCCGGGGAGCCAAAACAAAAUAGAGGGGCGCUUCCGUCGCCAACAGCUGGGCGCUUCCUUUUCGAGGUGGCCUCGCCGCUGGCAGAAUAAGAGGCAGGGAUCCCGACCGAAGGGUGAGGGGCAGAAGAUGCGCCUUGCCUCUUGACCAACGGCCUAAGGUCGGAGCCGGCUGGGGGCCCUGCUCUGCGCUCUUCCCGGUCAGGGCCCCACACCUCCCCAGACUCCAGCCCAGGCCCAGCGGCUCAGGUCCCAGGCGCGACACGGAGUCUUCCCACCACGCCACCCACGGUGGACCGGCGCGGGGCCCUCAGCUGCUCACUCCGCAUGACCCCACCGCUCCAGCCCCUCCGGGGCCAGCCCAGCACCGUCCCCUUUGCCUCCCCCUCUCAGCCUCGAUCUCCGGACCCCCAAGGCCCGCACUCACGGUUGGCGAUGUCGCCCCCCCUCUUAUACUUGGUCACAACCAGGUCCUCGGCGAUAGUUUGCUCCUGCUGCUCGUCCUCGCCCGACAUCUUCCCACUACCACCACCACCACUGCAGCCUCGUUCCUCCUGAGCCGCCGCCUCUGUCUUCCUUCCCAGCCGCAGGCUGUGCCUACAGCCCCUUCGAUCCGCGAGGAAAGCGCGAGCGAAAGCGCGA
RNAcentral lists this long non-coding RNA (8416 nucleotides) under Lynx pardinus (Iberian lynx). Lineage: Eukaryota; Metazoa; Chordata; Mammalia; Carnivora; Felidae. The record is from RNAcentral.